AACGAACGCUGGCGGCAUGCCUAACACAUGCAAGUCGAACGAGACCUUCGGGUCUAGUGGCGAACGGGUGCGUAACGCGUGGGAACCUGCACUUAGGUUCGGAAUAACUCCCCGCAAGGGGCGCUAAUACCGGAUAAUGUCUUCGGACCAAAGAUUUAUCGGCUUUGGAUGGGCCCGCGUUGGAUUAGCUAGUUGGUAGGGUAAAAGCCUACCAAGGCGACGAUCCAUAGCUGGUCUGAGAGGAUGAUCAGCCACACUGGGACUGAGACACGGCCCAGACUCCUACGGGAGGCAGCAGUGGUGAAUAUUGGACAAUGGGCGAAAGCCUGAUCCAGCAAUGCCGCGUGAGUGAUGAAGGCCUUAGGGUUGUAAAGCUCUUUUACCCGGGAUGAUAAUGACAGUACCGGGAGAAUAAGCUCCGGCUAACUCCGUG
Molecule: ribosomal RNA, 433 nt
Filed under: uncultured bacterium
Lineage: Bacteria
Description: partial 16S ribosomal RNA
Rfam family: Bacterial small subunit ribosomal RNA
Source: RNAcentral